RNAcentral lists this ribosomal RNA (453 nucleotides) under uncultured bacterium. RNAcentral describes it as "bacterial SSU rRNA". It matches the Rfam family "Bacterial small subunit ribosomal RNA", at positions 355 to 800 of the family's 1533-position model. The record is from RNAcentral.
UGGGGAAUAUUGGACAAUGGGCGAAAGCCUGAUCCAGCCAUGCCGCGUGUGUGAAGAAGGUCUUCGGAUUGUAAAGCACUUUAAGUUGGGAGGAAGGGUUGUAGAUUAAUACUCUGCAAUUUUGACGUUACCGACAGAAUAAGCACCGGCUAACUCUGUGCCAGCAGCCGCGGUAAUACAGAGGGUGCAAGCGUUAAUCGGAAUUACUGGGCGUAAAGCGCGCGUAGGUGGUUAGUUAAGUUGGAUGUGAAAUCCCCGGGCUCAACCUGGGAACUGCAUUCAAAACUGACUGACUAGAGUAUGGUAGAGGGUGGCGGAAUUUCCUGUGUAGCGGUGAAAUGCGUAGAUAUAGGAAGGAACACCAGUGGCGAAGGCGGGUAGCUGGGCCAACACUGACGCUGAGACGCGAAAGCUAGGGGAGCAAACGGGAUUAGAUACCCGAGUAGUCCCUGA